Molecule: small nuclear RNA, 21 nt
Filed under: Arabidopsis thaliana (thale cress)
Lineage: Eukaryota; Viridiplantae; Streptophyta; Magnoliopsida; Brassicales; Brassicaceae
Description: snRNA_04524
Source: RNAcentral
ACCCAAAUUUCUUGUUUCUUC